ACUCCUACGGGAGGCAGCAGUGGGGAAUAUUGCACAAUGGGGGAAACCCCUGAUGCAGCCAUGCCGCGUGUGUGAAGAAGGCCUUCGGGUUGUAAAGCACUUUCAGUAGGGAGGAAGGUAGUGUAGUUAACACCUGCACUAUUUGACGUUACCUACAGAAGAAGCACCGGCUAACUCCGUGCCAGCAGCCGCGGUAAUACGGAGGGUGCGAGCGUUAAAUCGGAAUUACUGGGCGUAAAGCGCAUGCAGGCGGCCUGUUAAGUCAGAUAGUGAAAGCCCGGGGCUUAACCUCGGAAUUGCAUUUGAAACUGGCAGGCUAGAGUCUUGUAGAGGGGGGUAGAAUUUCAGGUGU
RNAcentral lists this ribosomal RNA (352 nucleotides) under uncultured bacterium. Its description in RNAcentral is "bacterial SSU rRNA". It matches the Rfam family "Bacterial small subunit ribosomal RNA", at positions 335 to 676 of the family's 1533-position model. The record is from RNAcentral.